GGCUAAAGAUUGUCCGUGGCUUAGGGAAACCGAUAAGUAUCCCACCUGGGGAGUACGCCGGCAACGGUGAAACUCAAAGGAAUUGACGGGGGCCCGCACAAGUGGUGGAGCAUGUGGUUUAAUUCGAUGAUACGCGAGGAACCUUACCUAGGCUAGAAUGCGCGUGACCGGCUCAGAGAUGAGCCUUUCCUUCGGGACACAAAGCAAGGUGCUGCAUGGCCGUCGUCAGCUCGUGCCGUGAGGUGUUGGGUUAAGUCCCGCGACGAGCGCAACCCCUAUAGUUAGUUGCCAGCACGUAAUGGUGGGGACUCUAGCUAGACUGCCUGCGCAAGCAGUGAGGAAGGCGGGGACGACGUCAGGUCAUCAUGGCCCUUACGCCUAGGGCGACACACGUGCUACAAUGGACGGUACAGCGGGUAGCUACACAGCGAUGUGAUGCCAAUCUCGAAAAGCCGUUCUCAGUUCGGAUCGGAGUCUGCAACUCGACUCCGUGAAGCUGGAAUCACUAGUAAUCGCGCAUCAGCCAUGGCGCGGUGAAUACGUUCCCGGGCCUUGUAUACACCGCCCGUCAAGCCAUGAAAGUCUGGUAGACCUGAAGCUGGUGCUCGUCACAGAAGCCAGUUAGGGUAGAACAGGUAAUU
This 641-nucleotide ribosomal RNA is filed under the name uncultured bacterium. Its description in RNAcentral is "bacterial SSU rRNA". It matches the Rfam family "Bacterial small subunit ribosomal RNA", at positions 825 to 1476 of the family's 1533-position model. The record is from RNAcentral.